Molecule: ribosomal RNA, 497 nt
Filed under: uncultured bacterium
Lineage: Bacteria
Description: partial 16S ribosomal RNA
Rfam family: Bacterial small subunit ribosomal RNA
Source: RNAcentral
GACGAACGCUGGCGGCGUGCCUAAUACAUGCAAGUAGAACGCUGAAGAGAGGAGCUUGCUCUUCUUGGAUGAGUGGCGAACGGGUGAGUAACGCGUAGGUAACCUGCCUUGUAGCGGGGGAUAACUAUUGGAAACGAUAGCUAAUACCGCAUAACAAUGGAUGACACAUGUCAUUUAUUUGAAAGGGGCAAUUGCUCCACUACAAGAUGGACCUGCGUUGUAUUAGCUAGUAGGUGAGGUAAUGGCUCACCUAGGCGACGAUACAUAGCCGACCUGAGAGGGUGAUCGGCCACACUGGGACUGAGACACGGCCCAGACUCCUACGGGAGGCAGCAGUAGGGCAUCUUCGGCAAUGGGGGCAACCCUGACCGAGCAACGCCGCGUGAGUGAAGAAGGUUUUCGGAUCGUAAAGCUCUGUUGUAAGUCAAGAACGGGUGUGAGAGUGGAAAGUUCACACUGUGACGGUAGCUUACCAGAAAGGGACGGCUAACUACGUG